Molecule: unclassified non-coding RNA, 503 nt
Filed under: Hevea brasiliensis (rubber tree)
Lineage: Eukaryota; Viridiplantae; Streptophyta; Magnoliopsida; Malpighiales; Euphorbiaceae
Source: RNAcentral
AAGUCAUCUCCUUCGUCUACACUACUUUCUCUGAUUCAGCCAGACUUCAACAACGAAACCCAGAAACCAUUUUCUCUCUUUUUAACCUUUCUGCUGCAUCUAUGGCUCGUUCCACUGCUCUGGCUCUCAUUUUAUUACUGGUAUUUGCUGCAUUUAUGUCAAAUAUAGAGGGAAGGGAGAUUUUUAUGACUAAUACAGGGCAAGACAACGAAAAGGAGAGUACCGUCCCUUCUUUGUUUGCAAGGUUGGUUCUCAGUGCCCUUCCUAAGGGCACAGUUCCAUCUUCUUCUCCUAGCAAGAAGGGUCAUGCCACACUAGAUAAUGAGCAGCUUUUCCAGAGGCAUCUCGUCAGCAUCGAUCGGAUUCUAAAGUCUGUUCCAAGCCCUGGUGUUGGCCAUUAAGCCUUAUAUUCUUGAAAAGACAGUAUCCGUUUUUGUCGCUACAAUUUUCAUAAUUUUUUACUUCUUUUUCUUGUUUUCUGGUAAGUUAGACGUAUACAGAAG